AACUAACUGUAGGCUUAUCCCGAUCAACUUCUCAGGUGAUCGUAACGACUCGAUCGAUCACAUGGCUAAUGAUCAAUCAAAAUAUUAGAGCUACCGACCGACAAUCAAUCGGUAUAUCGAAGACACCGACAUAUAGACGACGCACUAAGAUUACCGACAUACAGUCGAUAUGUCAUAAACGACCAGCGCAGAAAGUGUAUAAUGGCAAUAUAUCACGAUUAUCAGUGGGCAUAACUGCCAACCCCCAUGAUCA
This 253-nucleotide long non-coding RNA is filed under the name Elaeis guineensis (African oil palm). RNAcentral describes it as "long non-coding RNA (EGUI_LNC012413)". The record is from RNAcentral. Lineage: Eukaryota; Viridiplantae; Streptophyta; Magnoliopsida; Arecales; Arecaceae.